RNAcentral lists this transfer RNA (53 nucleotides) under Angiostrongylus cantonensis (rat lungworm). RNAcentral's name for it is "tRNA-Ser". The record is from RNAcentral. Lineage: Eukaryota; Metazoa; Nematoda; Chromadorea; Rhabditida; Metastrongylidae. RNAcentral also lists the same sequence under 1 other name.
AAACUAAUAGGGAUGUUUUGAAAACAUCCUAAAAGGAAUUUCCUUGUAGUUUU